AUACGUUAGUCGGGGAGCCGUAAGGCUGAGACCACAGAGUGGGACCCGUUGAACCUGAUCCAGUUAAUACUGGCGUAGGGAACUAGCAGCAUUGCCCG
This 98-nucleotide non-coding RNA is filed under the name Photobacterium halotolerans. Its description in RNAcentral is "TPP sequence". It matches the Rfam family "TPP riboswitch aptamer (THI element)". Rfam says of the family: Vitamin B(1) in its active form thiamin pyrophosphate (TPP) is an essential coenzyme that is synthesised by coupling of pyrimidine and thiazole moieties in bacteria. The previously detected thiamin-regulatory element, thi box was extended, resulting in a new, highly conserved RNA secondary structure, the THI element, which is widely distributed in eubacteria and also occurs in some archaea. The record is from Rfam by way of RNAcentral. Lineage: Bacteria; Pseudomonadati; Pseudomonadota; Gammaproteobacteria; Vibrionales; Vibrionaceae.